GCCUACCGCAGCCUAUCAUGCAAGUCGAGCGAACUGAUUAGAAGCUUGCUUCUAUGACGUUAGCGGCGGACGGGUGAGUAACACGUGGGCAACCUGCCUGUAAGACUGGGAUAACUUCGGGAAACCGAAGCUAAUACCGGAUAGGAUCUUCUCCUUCAUGGGAGAUGAUUGAAAGAUGGUUUCGGCUAUCACUUACAGAUGGGCCCGCGGUGCAUUAGCUAGUUGGUGAGGUAACGGCUCACCAAGGCAACGAUGCAUAGCCGACCUGAGAGGGUGAUCGGCCACACUGGGACUGAGACACGGCCCAGACUCCUACGGGAGGCAGCAGUAGGGAAUCUUCCGCAAUGGACGAAAGUCUGACGGAGCAACGCCGCGUGAGUGAUGAAGGCUUUCGGGUCGUAAAACUCUGUUGUUAGGGAAGAACAAGUACGAGAGUAACUGCUCGUACCUUGACGGUACCUAACCAGAAAGCCACGGCUAACUACGUGCCAGCAGCCGCGGUAAUACGUAGGUGGCAAGCGUUAUCCGGAAUUAUUGGGCGUAAAGCGCGCGCAGGCGGUUUCUUAAGUCUGAUGUGAAAGCCCACGGCUCAACCGUGGAGGGUCAUUGGAAACUGGGGAACUUGAGUGCAGAAGAGAAAAGCGGAAUUCCACGUGUAGCGGUGAAAUGCGUAGAGAUGUGGAGGAACACCAGUGGCGAAGGCGGCUUUUUGGUCUGUAACUGACGCUGAGGCGCGAAAGCGUGGGGAGCAAACAGGAUUAGAUACCCUGGUAGUCCACGCCGUAAACGAUGAGUGCUAAGUGUUAGAGGGUUUCCGCCCUUUAGUGCUGCAGCUAACGCAUUAAGCACUCCGCCUGGGGAGUACGGUCGCAAGACUGAAACUCAAAGGAAUUGACGGGGGCCCGCACAAGCGGUGGAGCAUGUGGUUUAUUCGAAGCAACGCGAAGAACCUUACCAGGUCUUGACAUCCUCUGACAACUCUAGAGAUAGAGCGUUCCCCUUCGGGGACAGAGUGACAGGUGGUGCAUGGUUGUCGUCAGCUUCGUGUCGUGAGAUGUUGGGUUAAGUCCCGGCAACGAAGCGCAACCCUUGAAUCUUAGUUGGCUAG
RNAcentral lists this ribosomal RNA (1108 nucleotides) under Bacillus sp. (in: firmicutes). RNAcentral's name for it is "bacterial SSU rRNA". It matches the Rfam family "Bacterial small subunit ribosomal RNA", at positions 35 to 1122 of the family's 1533-position model. Lineage: Bacteria; Bacillati; Bacillota; Bacilli; Caryophanales; Bacillaceae. The record is from RNAcentral.